GACGAACGCUGGCGGCGUGCUUAACACAUGCAAGUCGAACGGAAAGGCCCUGCUUUUGUGGGGUGCUCGAGUGGCGAACGGGUGAGUAACACGUGAGUAACCUGCCCUUGACUUUGGGAUAACUUCAGGAAACUGGGGCUAAUACCGGAUAGGAGCUCCUGCUGCAUGGUGGGGGUUGGAAAGUUUCGGCGGUUGGGGUUGGACUCGCGGAUUAUCAGCUUGUUGGUGGGGUGGUGGCUACCAAGGCUUUGGCGGGUAGCCGGCCUGAGAGGGUGACCGGCCACAUUGGGACUGAGAUACGGCCCAGACUCCUACGGGAGGCAGCAGUGGGGAAUAUUGCACAAUGGGCGGAAGCCUGAUGCAGCAACGCCGCGUGCGGGAUGACGGCCUUCGGGUUGUAAACCGCUUUCGCCUGUGACGAAGCGUGAGUGACGGUAAUGGGUAAAGAAGCACCGGCUAACUACGUG
RNAcentral lists this ribosomal RNA (467 nucleotides) under uncultured bacterium. Its description in RNAcentral is "partial 16S ribosomal RNA". It matches the Rfam family "Bacterial small subunit ribosomal RNA", at positions 28 to 507 of the family's 1533-position model. The record is from RNAcentral.